AGAGGAAUUUUUUGUAAUUUAACCUUUUAUUUUUUAAAAAAAAAUUCAACAACACAAACGGCCAAUUUUUGGCUCUUUGAUGAGAAAAUAAAAAAUAUACAUUUCUUUUUGAAAUAUACUAAAAGCAAUGCUCGUAUCUACCGAUUCCACUCUCCAGAUAAAAAGCAAAAGUGCAUUCUCUUAAAUUUAUAUUAUAUAAAAAUAUAGUAACAUAGUUUUUUAAAAUAUUAUUUUAGUAUGAAAUUAUCAUAUUAUUUUUUAUUAGAUUCGAUAAGUUAAUUUGCAUUACACGUCGAAAAGUAAAAUAAGAGAGCGAUGUUGAAAGAGAGGGUUCAGCUACUCACAAAUCCUGAGAGGGUGGAAGAUGGAUAACGUGCAGUCCAGCGAAUCAGAAAGGAAUUUUUCAAAUUCAAUACCAUUCAAUUCCAACCUCCCAACAAAGCAAUCAACCACAACUUGAUAGCUAUCCCUCUUUGAUCAUAUAACAAGUGUUACAGUACAAGGAUAAAAUGGUAACGCAUCAAAGUUAAGAGCUUAAUCAUACAUUCUCUCAAAAUAAUUCUCAAAACACUUGCACAAAAUAAACUUGAGUUGUAAAUAAAUUUUAAUUAAAUUGAAAAAGAUUGUAAUAGUUAGAUUUUUGUUAUUUUUCUAUCUUUUUUUUUUUUUCCUUUCGUAAUUUGACUUUGAUACUACUCGGGACGAAACCGAACAACAAAAGUGAGCAUUUACAGACAACAAUAACUUCCAAACCCCCAUCAAAACUGAGUCAAUUAGUAGUUUUUUUUUUUUUUUUUUUUUCAAAAGUAGAAGUUCACAGUAAUAUCCAUUUAUUAGUUGAAGUGUCAAGUAAAGAACAAAAGUAGCACAAAGAAGAGAGUUGUAUCCAUCAUUUAUCUUAGAGAAAAUAAUCAAUUAAAAAAAAGAAAAAAAAAAAUAAAACAGAGAAGUGCUACCUAGCAUGGGAAAGCUAAGUAUUUUUUAUAAGAUAUCAACUUGGUAUGAAUGAUAACAAAUAUAUACUUCUCAUAGAAUAAACAAAAAAGACACCAAAAAACAUGGGCAGCAAAACUGUAGCUUAUUAAGAUAAUUUAGCACCUCUGAUAGGAAUAAAAGCACCAUUAGUUAAGAGGAAAACAAACAAACUCAACUUGUUCCUCCCUAACCAUUUAUGUAUAGAUCGCGAGACGAAUAGAGCUCAUAAGAAAAGCUAUGGAAUGUGCGUGCAACCGGGCCUCGACACAAUCGACUGAAUUUAGGAAUCUUUUCUCACGACGUCGUGAUAGCUUGAGGUGUAAUAUGCAAUUAUCAUAAAAUAUCAUAAUUAUAUGUUAUUGUUGUUUACUUCUUAGCCAUGAAAAGUGAAAAUGCAAUGCAGAGAGACGAAGAAAUCUUAAGCAGCACGGAGAAAGAAAUUCUAGAAGUUUUUGAGGGAUUUUGAUUCUGAAGUUGUAGAGCAAAAAUGUAAUCAAUUUGCUUCCCUGUUAGCUUUGCUUAUCUAGUAUAUACUCUGGAAAACUCAACAUCCAGGAUCUAUAAAGAUUAUGCAAUUAUUACCAAAAUUACGCUUCAGUUCACAAAGAAAAGCCAACAAAAUAACUUCAUAAAAAAUUAUAACGAAAAGCAAAGACUACGGAUCUUCACACCUGAGAUUGUAAUAUUGAGGGUCUUCUCUAGACAUAUAUCAAGACACAUCAGGGUAGUGUAGCUGUAGGAUAUAACUGAACCCAGGCAAAUUCCUCUUUGUAACCCAUGCUGAUUUCGCAGGAUU
Molecule: long non-coding RNA, 1771 nt
Filed under: Ananas comosus (pineapple)
Lineage: Eukaryota; Viridiplantae; Streptophyta; Magnoliopsida; Poales; Bromeliaceae
Description: long non-coding RNA (ACOM_LNC037738)
Source: RNAcentral